GCAGAUACGCCCACGUGCACAGGACGAGUGCGCCGCCGAGCCCCGGGCUGCUCCUGCCCAGGGUGUGCAUUUGAACUGCAAAGCUUUAAAUAAGAAAAGUAAACUUGGGACUUGAAGCAAGAGUGCACGCUUGCGGGGCUUCAACCCCGGUGGGCUGUGUGCACUACUCCGUGCAUAACGCGCCAGAGGGGUCGCCAAGCAGGAAGCCUGGGCGAACGUUUUACUCCUUAAUUGGGAAGAUGGGGCCCAUACCCACACCCCUCGGGAGGUUACAGAGGGAACUUGCACAGGGAAAAUGAGCGUGGGGGCGCGGAAACACACUCUACAGCACGGAAUCCCACCCAGACGGUGCACGUUCAAUUUUAAAUGUGACUGUCCAAGUAGAGUCAGUUUGGGGAAGCUCGAUGAAAAGUGAACGUAUGGGUAUUUUACGCAUGAAAUCUGUUCAAACUGGCAUAGGACUCUAGUGUCGGGGUGUCCCCGCUGUGGGAGGUUCCUCUGGAGAUCUCUAGCUCUAGGUGGCCCCCAUAACCUACCCAGUCUCAACUCCUAAGGGGUUAACCCAAGCGGAUUCCGAGGGGCCACACAGCCCCCUACACCCCGUUACUCUCACCCACUCCGAUCCUUGUCGGAGACCCUCGCCCCUCAGCCCACCCACGUGAGUCCGUGGCCCCUUACCUGCGGUCCAGGGACGCCGGCCUCCUGUGAAGCUGGAGUGUCUGUCUGCCCCCGCACGUGUUCGCCCCGCGGAGCAGGUCCUCGUAAGCUUCAAGAGAGCAAGACUUUGGUGGUUCAAACCCAGGCUCUGUCACUAGUUAGCUUUGUGUGCUUGGAUUGGAACCAGUCCAGUUGUCAUCUGAGAGGCUUCCUCCAUCAUGGAGGAGAUGGAGAUAGAACAACCACUGUCAGGUGGAAUACUAUGAGCUCCAGAUUCAGGAAGCCAAGACGGGAGUGUUGUGCCUGGGAAAAUUAGGACAACCCUGACUCAAAGAAACAAAAGAAACUGAAGCAAGAGGACAAACAGCAAAACAGUAAGGAACCAAAACCAAACGAUCCAAACCAACAAACUAACAAAGGGAUGGGUGGCUGCGGGGGUGGGGUGUGUGGAAGCCUGGUGAUGCAGUUUUGUGGUAGAGCACUUACAGUUACUUCCAAGGCCUUUGUUUCAAUCUCCAGGUACUGGGGAGAAAGUAUCUGUUUGUGGACCUAAAAACCCAAGGAAUACAGAGGUGUCAGGUACCACUGCAAUCACAAUUCAAAUCAUGUGAUCAAGACUCUUGACCCUCCCCUUAGUCUUUCUCCUCUCUCUCUCUCUCUCUCCUCCCCUACCAGUGACUCAUUUGACAAGUGUCUACAAGCUGUGCCCACCAUGGAACCAGUCUCUAGGAACUGAAAUCUAUCAGUAGACCAAGCAGACGCAAUUCUUGUCUCUGGUGUUCACAUGUUGUCCUUGAAUAAUAGCUUCACUGGUGGGUUUUACUUUGAUGGCCCUGGCUUAUAUUAUUCCAGCACCAAGUCCAGUAGAGAAAGGAUAACCCAUCUCUCAAUGGAUUCGACAGAAGCCAGCAACCGAAUUUCACUCCUUAGAAUUAUGUCUCAAACUUAGACCUUGUGAGCAGUUCAGACCUGUGCCAAAAGGCAGAUGUGCAUCUUCCACCCCUGUGGUUGGGAUCAACUCCCCUGGAAAGAGAGUAGCCGAGAUGAAACAGCCUUAUAGAAAUCAGCUCUGCUAAAAGCAAAGUCAUUAGUUUUAUUUUGUUUCGUUUUGGGGUUUGUGAAACCUAAGGCCUGUGUAUACCAAACACAGGCUGUGCCACAGAGCCACAGGACCCACAAGCCCUAACUAGGGAAGGUAAUUAGAUUGUGGAAGGCUAAAUCAACCACUGUCCUUUGACUGGUGUCUUUUAUUGAAUAGAGUGUUAAUUGUCUUCUGAAGUUAAGUCAUUUAUUUGUCUUUCUCCUUUAAUGUUAAGAUUCCAUAUUUUCCUAUCUUCAAAAUUUUGUAUGUAUUUAAAAUACUCAGCUUUUAAUUUAUCUGGCCUUGGAGUUUUAAUGAAAAGUUUUAAAUAUUGGGUAAAUAAAAAUAAAACAUAACA
This 2096-nucleotide long non-coding RNA is filed under the name Mus musculus (house mouse). RNAcentral describes it as "cyclin dependent kinase 6, opposite strand transcript 1 (Cdk6os1)". The record is from RNAcentral. Lineage: Eukaryota; Metazoa; Chordata; Mammalia; Rodentia; Muridae.